Molecule: non-coding RNA, 110 nt
Filed under: Bacillus thermotolerans
Lineage: Bacteria; Bacillati; Bacillota; Bacilli; Caryophanales; Bacillaceae
Also listed under: 1 other name
Description: Quasibacillus thermotolerans SAM riboswitch aptamer (S box leader)
Rfam family: SAM riboswitch aptamer (S box leader)
About the family: The SAM riboswitch is found upstream of a number of genes which code for proteins involved in methionine or cysteine biosynthesis in Gram-positive bacteria. The SAM riboswitch acts at the level of transcription termination control. The predicted structure consists of a complex stem-loop region followed by a single stem loop terminator region.
Source: Rfam by way of RNAcentral
UUCUUAUCGAGAGAAGCUGAGGGACUGGCCCGUGGAAGCUUCAGCAACCAGCCGCCUGAUGGCUAAGGUGCUAAAUCCAGCAAACUGCCGGGCAGUUUGAAAGAUAAGAA